RNA transcript from Silurus meridionalis, 2825 nucleotides. RefSeq lists it as uncharacterized. Lineage: Eukaryota; Metazoa; Chordata; Actinopteri; Siluriformes; Siluridae. The record is from RefSeq and is a predicted model, not a curated record. The transcript has 12 exons.
GAGAUGAAGCCAAGAAGUCUUGAUCGUAAGUCCCUUAAGCCGCAGAAGAGGGAACUGGGAGCAGAAAAAGAUUUAGUAAAGCAGGACACCACAGAAACAACAGAAACGAUGACUGAAGAAAGACAAGCACCCAAGGGCAUCUGUCUGCUUCAAUCUAUGCUGAACAGAAUAAAGUCUUCAGAGAAGGUCCAAGAUCCUUCUCAUGUAACAGCUCAACACUGUAGGCACGGGGUCGACACGAACCAGUGUGAUGAUGUGCUUAUCGCCGAGUUAGACAAACCGGAGAGGAAUUUUGCAGAGUCAGAUCAUUCAGAAUGCUCAGUCAAACCUGAUUUGGAAUAUUUCACUUAUAGGACAGUUGUUCACGAGUCCAAUCCUACUUACACCACUAUUUCUCAAAGGGACCCACCGUGUAGUUUGCUUCACAAUGUGAUAAGAAAAACGUGGCAUAAUUUACAGCCCAGUGAGGGUCAUCCCUUAUUGGAAGACGUGAAAGAGAAGCAAGCAUCACAAGCUAAAUCUGAUUUUAGCAUUCUGAAUAACAGUCCACCUCAUGAACUGUUUACUCAUGAGCCAUCAGGAUCCUCCAAUUCAGACUCAGAACAUGGGUUGGUCAAAGAAACAACUGUAAAAAAAGAACAUGAUAUAAUGAAGCAAUCUUGCCGGAGUGAAAAUACAGUUACAUCUGUAGAGGAAGCAGGGCCUCCACCCCUCCCUCCUAAACAGAGGAAUUUCAACCAGAUGCAUGUCCAAUUACAAAGGACUUUCACACUAAACGAUUUCAGGCUUGACCUCGAGCCCAUCAACUUGCUGGAGGAGGUUUGUACAGGAGAUGAAUGGGCAAAAUUUCUGCCAGUUAUAAAUCCCUCAGCCCAUCCUGAUGCCAAAGACGAUUCACAAAGAGAGGAUUCUCAUAAUUCGAGUGAUGAUAUCGGACCAUGUAAUGCAGUCAUAAAGCUGGCACUAUCAGCAGACAAAGAGCAGUCAGAAAUUAGUUCUAGUCUAGUCAGUGUUACUGACAGUCAGAUAGACAGCGUAAUCCAGACCAGACAAGAUACACCUCCUAAAGAGUCACCUUUUUCUGACCUUCCCAAAACACCACCAAAAAGUUUUGCAGUUGCACAAAUGCCAGACAUACUAGAAUAUAAAAAUUACAGGAAAAUUACUUUAUGGUAGUAUAUGUACAUGAUAAAACUAACCUGACAAAAGUCAAGGACUUGCCACUUGAUCUGUCUGUUGUCAAGUCAUCAGGAAUAUUAAACAAUUCAGCACUGAAGAGUCGAAUUCAUCUGAAUAAUAAAAGAAAACAUCAACCAUCAGGAAAGAGAAUAAGAGGAAACAUCAAACUACUCUUUCUUCGCAAACGCAGUGCCCCCACUACAGCAUCCACUCAGUCUCCCACUUCUUCACCUGCAGUUGUCUCCUUUCCCUCCUCUAAAUUUUAUUCUUUACCAGAAUCCAACUCCCAGACACAACAAGAUUUCCAAACAUCUGUAGUUGCUAAUAAAAAGCCACUAGUAACAAAUACUGCUUCACUACAAAUGAUAUCAGAAGUGACAGAAUCCUACAGCAAUGAUAAUGACUUUGCAGAAAAGACUGUGCUUUCUAAAAAUGAUCAGCAAUCAAUCGAGGCAAAGUUGAUGGAUAUGCACCAUGAUUUCUCUUUUGUCAAGUCUUCAAGGUUGCUAGACAAUUCUGCUCUGAAGGAUCGAAUCAAUUUGAGCAAAAAAAGAAAACAUCGACCCCCAGGGGAAAGAAAAGAUGAAAAUACCAAAGAAAAGUUUCUCAUAAAACAUGUUUGCCAACCAAGUGCCUCAAAGUCCCAUCAGACUCGCCCUUCCUCACAUGCUUCUGUCUUCAGCUUCUCUGCAUUUUAUAAUAUACCAUGCUCAAAAUCCAAGGAUUUUCAGACACAUGAAGAUUCCCAAACAACUGUACUUGGUAAAGAGAAGACGUUAGUAAGAAAUGCUGCAGCACUGUCAACAAUAUUGGAAGUACCAGAAUCUUCCAGCAAUGAUAAUGACAAGGCACAGCUGAGGGAUGUGCCCUAUGAUUUCUCUCUUGUCAAGGUAUUUCUUCCUCUCUUUUACAAAGUCAUCAGAGCUGCUAGACGACUCUGCUCUGAAGUAUCGAAUCAGUUUAGCCAAAAAAAGAAAACAUUGACCACCAGGAAAAAAAAAAGAUGAAAAUACCAAAAAGAAGUUCCCCAUUAAACUUCUCCGCCAAUGGAGUGCCUAAGAGUCUCACCAGUUCCGCCCUUCUUCACACACAUCUGUCUUCACCUCCUCUGCAUUUUAUAAUAUACCAAUGUCUUAUAAUUCCAAUGAUUCCAAAAGCACACCAGUUCCUGCUAACGAGAAGUUCAGUAUAUCUUAGAUCUGAUCAAUCUGGCAAACUGGCUAUGAAGAAAAUAAUUUUUCCCUAAUUUAUAAUGAAUUUAAUUAAUACAUAAAAAAAAUAUCAACUGAUCAAAAAUAAUAAACUUACCUUGUAUUUGUUCUGCUCCUGCCUCUGCAGCAAAAGACAAAAGACAAAUUCUUGAAACCAAAGCUUUGGAAGAUAAAAAGCUCAUUUGUGUCCGGGUAAUGUAACAGGAACCACGGUCAAGCAGUGUACAUGUAACCUAGUCUACAUGUGACCUGGAAAAGAACUAAAUCCAUCACUCGUAUAAAUAUACAUACUGUAUUAAACUUUUCUUAUAAGCUGCUUACUUAUAAGCUGAAUUAGUAAAAUACCUUGGCUGAAAUAAAAUGUACAAUGUUCCCAAAUGUAUUUAUUCAGCUAAGUUGAAUUCACUGUAUUAGGUUUUUUGAUCCUUUUGUACA